RNAcentral lists this ribosomal RNA (345 nucleotides) under uncultured eukaryote. Its description in RNAcentral is "bacterial SSU rRNA". It matches the Rfam family "Eukaryotic small subunit ribosomal RNA", at positions 111 to 478 of the family's 1831-position model. The record is from RNAcentral.
UCUAAUUUACAUGAUGAUGACUUGCUACAUGGAUAACCGUGGUCAUUCUAGAGCUAAUACAUGCAAAGGGCCCGCGAGGGUGGCAUUUAUUAGAUGGAACCAGCGAAAGAUGGUGAAUCAUGAUAACUGAGCGGAUCGCAUGGCCUCGAGCUGGCGACGCUUCAUUCAAAUUUCUGCCCUAUCAACUUUGGAUGGUAGGAUAGAGGCCUACCAUGGUGGUGACGGGUGACGGGGAAUUGGGGUUCGAUUCCGGAGAGGGAGCCUGAGAGAUGGCUACCACUUCCAAGGAAGGCAGCAGGCGCGCAAAUUACCCAAUCCCGACACGGGGAGGUAGUGACAGUAAAU